This 554-nucleotide ribosomal RNA is filed under the name Yarrowia deformans. RNAcentral's name for it is "eukaryotic LSU rRNA". It matches the Rfam family "Eukaryotic large subunit ribosomal RNA", at positions 33 to 673 of the family's 3401-position model. Lineage: Eukaryota; Fungi; Ascomycota; Dipodascomycetes; Dipodascales. The record is from RNAcentral.
UUUUUGCAUAUCAAUAAGCGGAGGAAAAGAAACCAACAGGGAUUGCCUCAGUAACGGCGAGUGAAGCGGCAAAAGCUCAAAUUUGAAACCCUCGGGAUUGUAAUUUGAAGAUUUGGCAUUGGAGAAAGCUAACCCAAGUUACUUGGAAUAGUACGUCAUAGAGGGUGACAACCCCGUCUGGCUAACCGUUCUCCAUGUAUUGCCUUAUCAAAGAGUCGAGUUGUUUGGGAAUGCAGCUCAAAGUGGGUGGUAAACUCCAUCUAAAGCUAAAUACUGGUGAGAGACCGAUAGCGAACAAGUACUGUGAAGGAAAGGUGAAAAGAACUUUGAAAAGAGAGUGAAAUAGUAUGUGAAAUUGUUGAUAGGGAAGGAAAUGAGUGGAGAGUGGUUUAGGUUUCAGCCUUCUUUCGAGGGGGUGCACUACCAACGCCGAGUCAUUGAUAGCGAGACAGGGGUUAUAAACGGACGGCACUUGUGCUAUUCUCCUAACCCCUCUACUGCCACCAACGACAUAAUCCACCCAUUUCACCCGUCUUGAAACACGGACCAAAAAA